UGGCUCAGAUUGAACGCUGGCGGCAUGCCUUACACAUGCAAGUCGAACGGCAGCACGGGAGCAAUCCUGGUGGCGAGUGGCGAACGGGUGAGUAAUACAUCGGAACGUGUCCUGUAGUGGGGGAUAGCCCGGCGAAAGCCGGAUUAAUACCGCAUACGCUCUACGGAGGAAAGGGGGGGAUCUUAGGACCUCUCGCUACAGGGGCGGCCGAUGGCAGAUUAGCUAGUUGGUGGGGUAAAGGCCUACCAAGGCGACGAUCUGUAGCUGGUCUGAGAGGACGACCAGCCACACUGGGACUGAGACACGGCCCAGACUCCUACGGGAGGCAGCAGUGGGGAAUUUUGGACAAUGGGCGCAAGCCUGAUCCAGCACAUGCCGCGUGUGUGAAGAAGGCCCUUCGGGUUGUAAAGCACUUUUGUCCGGAAAGAAAACCUCUGGGUUCAUACCCCGGGGGGAUGACGGUACCGGAAGCAAUAAGCACCGGC
This 485-nucleotide ribosomal RNA is filed under the name Burkholderia sp. C2PN12. RNAcentral describes it as "bacterial SSU rRNA". It matches the Rfam family "Bacterial small subunit ribosomal RNA", at positions 20 to 497 of the family's 1533-position model. Lineage: Bacteria; Pseudomonadati; Pseudomonadota; Betaproteobacteria; Burkholderiales; Burkholderiaceae. The record is from RNAcentral.